GACGAACGCUGGCGGCGUGCCUAAUACAUGCAAGUCGAGCGAAGUUUUUCUGGUGCUUGCACUAGAAAAACUUAGCGGCGAACGGGUGAGUAACACGUAAAGAACCUGCCUCAUAGACUGGGACAACUAUUGGAAACGAUAGCUAAUACCGGAUAACAGCAUUUCUCGCAUGAGAGAUAUUUAAAAGUUGGUUAUGCUAACACUAUGAGAUGGCUUUGCGGUGCAUUAGCUAGUUGGUGGGGUAAAGGCCCGCCAAGGCGACGAUGCAUAGCCGACCUGAGAGGGUGAUCGGCCACACUGGGACUGAGACACGGCCCAGACUCCUACGGGAGGCAGCAGUAGGGAAUCUUCCGCAAUGGGCGAAAGCCUGACGGAGCAACGCCGCGUGAGUGAAGAAGGAUUUCGGUUCGUAAAGCUCUGUUGUUAGGGAAGAAUGGAUAUGUAGUAACUAUACAUGUAAGAGACGGUACCUAACCAGAAAGCCACGGCUAACUACGUG
Molecule: ribosomal RNA, 499 nt
Filed under: uncultured bacterium
Lineage: Bacteria
Description: partial 16S ribosomal RNA
Rfam family: Bacterial small subunit ribosomal RNA
Source: RNAcentral